Molecule: small RNA, 582 nt
Filed under: Pan troglodytes (chimpanzee)
Lineage: Eukaryota; Metazoa; Chordata; Mammalia; Primates; Hominidae
Description: processed transcript
Source: RNAcentral
GUGAUGCUAGGGAACUCGGAGUUCGACAGCCUUGUUGACCUCAUCAGCUACUAUGAGAAACACCCGCUAUACCGCAAGAUGAAGCUGCGCUAUCCCAUCAACGAGGAGGCACUGGAGAAGAUUGGCACAGCUGAGCCUGACUACGGGGCCCUGUAUGAGGGACGCAACCCUGGCUUCUAUGUAGAGGCAAACCCUAUGCCAACUUUCAAGUGUGCAGUCAAAGCCCUCUUUGACUACAAGGCCCAGAGGGAGGACGAGCUGACCUUCACCAAGAGCGCCAUCAUCCAGAAUGUGGAGAAGCAAGAGGGAGGCUGGUGGCGAGGGGACUACGGAGGGAAGAAGCAGCUGUGGUUCCCAUCAAACUACGUGGAAGAGAUGGUCAACCCCGUGGCCCUGGAGCCGGAGAGGGAGCACUUGGACGAGAACAGCCCCCUAGGGGACUUGCUACGGGGGGUCUUGGAUGUGCCGGCUUGUCAGAUUGGUGAGCUCCCAUCCGUUUCUCUUGCCCACUGUUCCUAGGGUGAGGUUCUUCUUUGUAUCUCUUUCCUGCUCCUAGGGAGGAAGCUGAUGGCUGAACCCCAA